AAUGGGCGCAAGCCUGAUCUAGCCAUACCGCGUGAGUGAUGAAGGCCUUAGGGUCGUAAAGCUCUUUCGCCAGGGAAGAUAAUGACUGUACCUGGUAAAGAAGUCCCGGCUAACUCCGUGCCAGCAGCCGCGGUAAUACGGAGGGGACUAGCGUUGUUCGGAAUUACUGGGCGUAAAGCGCACGUAGGCGGACUGAUCAGUCAGGGGUGAAAUCCCGGGGCUCAACCCCGGAACUGCCUCUGAUACUGUCAGUCUUGAGUUCGAGAGAGGUGAGUGGAAUUCCGAGUGUAGAGGUGAAAUUCGUAGAUAUUCGGAGGAACACCAGUGGCGAAGGCGGCUCACUGGCUCGAUACUGACGCUGAGGUGCGAAAGCGUGGGGAGCAAACAGGAUU
This 392-nucleotide ribosomal RNA is filed under the name uncultured Gammaproteobacteria bacterium. RNAcentral describes it as "bacterial SSU rRNA". It matches the Rfam family "Bacterial small subunit ribosomal RNA", at positions 370 to 779 of the family's 1533-position model. The record is from RNAcentral. Lineage: Bacteria; Pseudomonadati; Pseudomonadota; Gammaproteobacteria.